GGGGGUGUAGCUCAGUCUGGUUAGAGCGCUGGCCUGUCACGCCAGAGGUCGCGAGUUCGAGUCUCGUCACUCCC
Molecule: transfer RNA, 74 nt
Filed under: Rhodospirillaceae bacterium
Lineage: Bacteria; Pseudomonadati; Pseudomonadota; Alphaproteobacteria; Rhodospirillales; Rhodospirillaceae
Description: tRNA-Asp
Rfam family: tRNA
About the family: Transfer RNA (tRNA) molecules are approximately 80 nucleotides in length. Their secondary structure includes four short double-helical elements and three loops (D, anti-codon, and T loops). Further hydrogen bonds mediate the characteristic L-shaped molecular structure. tRNAs have two regions of fundamental functional importance: the anti-codon, which is responsible for specific mRNA codon recognition, and the 3' end, to which the tRNAs corresponding amino acid is attached (by aminoacyl-tRNA synthetases). tRNAs cope with the degeneracy of the genetic code in two manners: having more than one tRNA (with a specific anti-codon) for a particular amino acid; and 'wobble' base-pairing, i.e. permitting non-standard base-pairing at the 3rd anti-codon position.
Source: RNAcentral